This 253-nucleotide ribosomal RNA is filed under the name uncultured bacterium. Its description in RNAcentral is "partial 16S ribosomal RNA". It matches the Rfam family "Bacterial small subunit ribosomal RNA", at positions 524 to 776 of the family's 1533-position model. RNAcentral also lists the same sequence under 1 other name. The record is from RNAcentral.
UACAGAGGUCCCGAGCGUUGUUCGGAUUCACUGGGCGUAAAGGGUGCGUAGGUGGUCGGGUAAGUCUGAUGUGAAAUCUCCAAGCUCAACUUGGAAACUGCAUCGGAUACUAUUCGGCUUGAGGGUUGGAGGGGGGACUGGAAUGCUUGGUGUAGCAGUGAAAUGCGUAGAUAUCAAGCGGAACACCAGUGGCGAAGGCGAGUCCCUGGACAACUCCUGACACUGAGGCACGAAAGCUAGGGGAGCAAACAGG